UCUUUUGAUUUUAUAAUAAUAUAAUUAUCAUUGAUUGUUGUAUUUAUUAUAUGUACAUAUAUGAUUGACAAUGCGAAAGAUUCAGGAUACCUUCGGGACCCGUCUUGAAACACGGACCAAGGAGUCUAACAUAUGUGCAAGUCAUUGGGUUUUUAAACCUAAAGGCGAAAUUAACUUAACUGUUAAUGGGAUCAGUAUGUAUUUUUUAUAAAUAUAUAUUCAAUCCCGGGGCGUUCUAUAUAGUUAUGUAUAAUGGUAUUUAUAUUAUUUAUACCUCUAACUGGAACGCACCUUGAG
RNAcentral lists this non-coding RNA (297 nucleotides) under Megaselia scalaris. Its description in RNAcentral is "Eukaryotic large subunit ribosomal RNA". It matches the Rfam family "Eukaryotic large subunit ribosomal RNA", at positions 550 to 800 of the family's 3401-position model. The record is from Rfam by way of RNAcentral. Lineage: Eukaryota; Metazoa; Arthropoda; Insecta; Diptera; Phoridae.